AUUGCCUCAGUAACGGCGAGUGAAGCGGCAACAGCUCAAAUUUGAAAUCUGUGCCUUUCAGGCACCGAGUUGUAAUUUGUAGAAGAUGCUUCGAGCGUGGCACCGGUCUAAGUUCCUUGGAACAGGACGUCAUAGAGGGUGAGAAUCCCGUAUGCGACUGGCCGCCUUCGUUCAUGUGAAGCUCUUUCGACGAGUCGAGUUGUUUGGGAAUGCAGCUCAAAAUGGGUGGUAUAUUUCAUCUAAAGCUAAAUAUUGGCCAGAGACCGAUAGCGCACAAGUAGAGUGAUCGAAAGAUGAAAAGCACUUUGGAAAGAGAGUUAAACAGUACGUGAAAUUGUUGAAAGGGAAGCGCUUGCAACCAGACUUGCACGCUGCCGAUCAUCUGGGGUUCUCCCCAGUGCACUCGGUUGUGUUCAGGCCAGCAUCGGUUUGGGUGGUUGGAUAAAGGCCUUGGGAAUGUAGCUCCUCUCGGGGAGUGUUAUAGCCCUCGGUGCAAUGCAGCCUACCCGGACCGAGGACCGCGCUUCGGCUAGGAUGCUGGCGUAAUGGUUGUAAGCGACCCGUCUUGAAACACGGACCAAGGAGUCUAACAUCUAUGCGAGUGUUUGGGUGUCAAACCCAUACGCGUAAUUAACGUGAACGGAGGUAAGAACCCUUAAGGGUGCAUUAUCGACCGAUCCUGAUGUCUUCGGAUGGAUUUGAGUAAGAGCAUAGCUGUUGGGACCCGAAAGAUGGUGAACUAUGCCUGAAUAGGGUGAAGCCAGAGGAAACUCUGGUGGAGGCUCGCAGCGGUUCUGACGUGCAAAUCGAUCGUCAAAUUUGGGUAUAGGGGCGAAAGACUAAUCGAACCAUUAACUACUAGGUGGUUAAUAGGGACCUGAGAAGGGCCCUCUAGUCCUGGUCGAGGGCGACAUCAUCAAAUUGCGGGGACGUCCUGAUAAGUUCUCAAGCUACCGCAGCGUUCCCGAAAGGGGCGUGCGCACCGGGUUAACAGCCCUGGGGAUGGUAACAGCGCUUGAGAUAGGGAUGAUCCGCAGCCAAGUCCUACCGGCCCUCGUGGCCCACGGAUGCAGUUCACAGACUAAAUGUUGAUGGGCAGCGUGCUGCUUAAGUUAUAGUCGGAGCGCCGGGAGACCGGUCGGGGAGGAAGGAUCGUUCAGGGUGACCACUGCACUGCAGUCCCUGUGCGUGAGAGCCUUCCCGGGGGCGUAAUGCCCUGUAUUUGUCGCUAGUAGCUGGUUCCUGCCGAAGUUUCCCUCAGGAUAGC
RNAcentral lists this ribosomal RNA (1267 nucleotides) under Microscypha sp. RNAcentral's name for it is "partial large subunit ribosomal RNA". It matches the Rfam family "Eukaryotic large subunit ribosomal RNA", at positions 74 to 982 of the family's 3401-position model. The record is from RNAcentral. Lineage: Eukaryota; Fungi; Ascomycota; Leotiomycetes; Helotiales; Hamatocanthoscyphaceae.